AGACUAAAUGAGACACCAGAAAAGGAUACUGCCCAGUCUAACGUACUGCCUGCGGGGUAUACAGUAUGCUGCAUAUUGCAGCCUUUGUGGGCUGUCAUCUAUGCUUGGGUGAAUAUUGGAGAUGCAGCUGUCUUUGAGGCAUUGCUGCUCUUGUAUCUGUUUUUUACUGGUUUUUGGCUGGAUGAUCCUGAUGACAGCAGGACUUCUUGGGAAGACAGGGUGAGUUGUCGACCAGACAAUGGAGAGUAAAUUUCAAGAGGGGAAAGCAUUAAAAUUGCUGCUGAGAAAGCACCUGUAAUUGCUUACUUCAGUGGAUACUUGCCACUGAAGAGAUACCGCCUGAACUACACUUGUACAAUAGGAAAGGUGUCCUGAAGGCAAAAGUAACAUCCCUAGGAGGCUCUGUCUUAUGAAAAUUACCUUCCUUUAAACAAAGAAUGUCUACACUGAAGGCAUUCCUUAAGCCUGGGAGACAACUGCCUAAUAAAGUGGUUCUUCAGGGUUACUAUGCUGAUACUUGGUCCAAGAGAGCUAGUCUACAUGUUGAGCUGAUUGUGGAACUUUGGAACAUCAUCUCUGUG
This 581-nucleotide long non-coding RNA is filed under the name Mus pahari (shrew mouse). Its description in RNAcentral is "predicted gene 12649 (MGP_PahariEiJ_G0006197.1)". The record is from RNAcentral. Lineage: Eukaryota; Metazoa; Chordata; Mammalia; Rodentia; Muridae.